GAAACCCGGUGAUCUAGCCAUGGGCAGGUUGAAGGUUGGGUAACACUAACUGGAGGACCGAACCGACUAAUGUUGAAAAAUUAGCGGAUGACUUGUGGCUGGGGGUGAAAGGCCAAUCAAACCGGGAGAUAGCUGGUUCUCCCCGAAAGCUAUUUAGGUAGCGCCUCGUGAAUUCAUCUCCGGGGGUAGAGCACUGUUUCGGCAAGGGGGUCAUCCCGACUUACCAACCCGAUGCAAACUGCGAAUACCGGAGAAUGUUAUCACGGGAGACACACGGCGGGUGCUAACGUCCGUCGUGAAGAGGGAAACAACCCAGACCGCCAGCUAAGGUCCCAAAGUCAUGGUUAAGUGGGAAACGAUGUGGGAAGGCCCAGACAGCCAGGAUGUUGGCUUAGAAGCAGCCAUCAUUUAAAGAAAGCGUAAUAGCUCACUGGUCGAGUCGGCCUGCGCGGAAGAUGUAACGGGGCUAAACCAUGCACCGAAGCUGCGGCAGCGACACUAUGUGUUGUUGGGUAGGGGAGCGUUCUGUAAGCCUGUGAAGGUGGCCUGUGAGGGUUGCUGGAGGUAUCAGAAGUGCGAAUGCUGACAUAAGUAACGAUAAAGCGGGUGAAAAGCCCGCUCGCCGGAAGACCAAGGGUUCCUGUCCAACGUUAAUCGGGGCAGGGUGAGUCGACCCCUAAGGCGAGGCCGAAAGGCGUAGUCGAUGGGAAACAGGUUAAUAUUCCUGUACUUGGUGUUACUGCGAAGGGGGGACGGAGAAGGCUAUGUUGGCCGGGCGACGGUUGUCCCGGUUUAAGCGUGUAGGCUGGUUUUCCAGGCAAAUCCGGAAAACCAAGGCUGAGGCGUGAUGACGAGGCACUACGGUGCUGAAGCGACAAAUGCCCUGCUUCCAGGAAAAGCCUCUAAGCAUCAGGUAACAUCAAAUCGUACCCCAAACCGACACAGGUGGUCAGGUAGAGAAUACCAAGGCGCUUGAGAGAACUCGGGUGAAGGAACUAGGCAAAAUGGUGCCGUAACUUCGGGAGAAGGCACGCUGAUAUGU
Molecule: ribosomal RNA, 1042 nt
Filed under: Escherichia coli
Lineage: Bacteria; Pseudomonadati; Pseudomonadota; Gammaproteobacteria; Enterobacterales; Enterobacteriaceae
Description: partial 23S ribosomal RNA
Rfam family: Bacterial large subunit ribosomal RNA
Source: RNAcentral